UACGUAGGGACCAAGCGUUGUUCGGAUUUACUGGGCGUAAAGGGCGCGUAGGCGGCAAUUCAAGUCAGCUGUGAAAUCUCCGGGCUUAACUCGGAACGGUCAGCUGAUACUGCUUUGCUAGAGUGCAGAAGGGGCAAUCGGAAUUCUUGGUGUAGCGGUGAAAUGCGUAGAUAUCAAGAAGAACACCCGUGGCUAAGGCGGCUCUCUAGUACGUGACUGACGCUGAGACGCGAAAGCGUGGGGAGCGAACAGG
Molecule: ribosomal RNA, 253 nt
Filed under: uncultured bacterium
Lineage: Bacteria
Description: partial 16S ribosomal RNA
Rfam family: Bacterial small subunit ribosomal RNA
Source: RNAcentral